UGUAUUUAUUAGAUAAAAAACCAAUGCCCUUCGGGGCUUUUUGGUGAUUCAUGAUAACUUUACGGAUCGCAUAGCCUUGCGCUGGCGACGGUUCAUUCAAAUUUCUGCCCUAUCAACUUUCGAUGGUAAGGUAUUGGCUUACCAUGGUUUCAACGGGUAACGGGGAAUUAGGGUUCGAUUCCGGAGAGGGAGCCUGAGAAACGGCUACCACAUCCAAGGAAGGCAGCAGGCGCGCAAAUUACCCAAUCCCGACACGGGGAGGUAGUGACAAUAAAUACUGAUACAGGGCUCUUUUGGGUCUUGUAAUUGGAAUGAGUACAAUUUAAACCUCUUAACGAGGAACAAUUGUAGGGCAAGUCUGGUGCCAGCAGCCGCGGUAAUUCCAGCUCCAAUAGCGUAUAUUAAAGUUGUUGCAGUUAAAAAGCUCGUAGUUGAAACUUGGGCCUGGCUGGCGGGUCCGCCUCACCGCGUGCACUCGUCCGGCCGGGCCUUCCUUCUGAAGAACCUCAUGCCCUUCACUGGGCGUGCUGGGGAACCAGG
RNAcentral lists this ribosomal RNA (540 nucleotides) under uncultured eukaryote. Its description in RNAcentral is "SSU rRNA". It matches the Rfam family "Eukaryotic small subunit ribosomal RNA", at positions 202 to 746 of the family's 1831-position model. The record is from RNAcentral.